RNAcentral lists this ribosomal RNA (500 nucleotides) under uncultured bacterium. RNAcentral's name for it is "partial 16S ribosomal RNA". It matches the Rfam family "Bacterial small subunit ribosomal RNA", at positions 30 to 523 of the family's 1533-position model. The record is from RNAcentral.
AUUGAACGCUGGCGGAAUGCUUUACACAUGCAAGUCGAACGGCAGCACGGACUUCGGUCUGGUGGCGAGUGGCGAACGGGCGAGUAAUGUAUCGGAACGUGCCUAGUCGUGGGGGAUAAUGUAGUGAAAAUUACGCUAAUACCGCAUACGAUCUAUGGAUGAAAGCGGGGGAUCGCAAGACCUCGCGCGAUUGGAGCGGCCGAUAUCAGAUUAGGUAGUUGGUGGGGUAAAGGACCACCAAGCCAACGAUCUGUAGCUGGUCUGAGAGGACGACCAGCCACACUGGAACUUAUACACGGUCCAGACUCCUACGAGAGGCAGAGUUGGUGAAUUUUGGACAAUGGGCGAAAGCCUGAUCCAGCCAUUCCGCGUGCAGGAUGAAGGCCCUCGAGUUGUAAACUGCUUUUGUACAGAACGAAAAGGUUUCUACUAAUACUAGGAGCUCAUGACGUUACUGUAAGAAUAAGCACCGGCUAACUACGUGCCAGCAGCCGCGGUAA